CAAGGCGACGAUACGUAGCCGACCUGAGAGGGUGAUYGGCCACACUGGAACUGAGACACGGUCCAGACUCCUACGGGAGGCAGCAGUAGGGAAUCUUCCGCAAUGGGCGAAAGCCUGACGGAGCAACGCCGCGUGAGUGAUGAAGGUCUUCGGAUCGUAAAACUCUGUUAUUAGGGAAGAACAUACGUGUAAGUAACUAUGCACGUCUUGACGGUACCUAAUCAGAAAGCCACGGCUAACUACGUGCCAGCAGCCGCGGUAAUACGUAGGUGGCAAGCGUUAUCCGGAAUUAUUGGGCGUAAAGCGCGCGUAGGCGGUUUUUUAAGUYUGAUGUGAAAGCCCACGGCUCAACCGUGGAGGGUCAUUGGAAACUGKAAAACUUGAGUGCAGAAGAGGAAAGUGGAAUUCCAUGUGUAGCGGUGAAAUGCGCAGAGAUAUGGAGGAACACCAGUGGCGAAGGCGACUUUYUGGUCUGUAACUGACGCUGAUGUGCGAAAGCGUGGGGAUCAAACAGGAUUAGAUACCCUGGUAGUCCACGCCGUAAACGAUGAGUGCUAAGUGUUAGGGGGUUUCCGCCCCUUAGUGCUGCAGCUAACGCAUUAAGCACUCCGCCUGGGGAGUACGACCGCAAGGUUGAAACUCAAAGGAAUUGACGGGGACCCGCACAAGCGG
This 672-nucleotide ribosomal RNA is filed under the name Staphylococcus sp. RNAcentral's name for it is "bacterial SSU rRNA". It matches the Rfam family "Bacterial small subunit ribosomal RNA", at positions 269 to 932 of the family's 1533-position model. The record is from RNAcentral. Lineage: Bacteria; Bacillati; Bacillota; Bacilli; Caryophanales; Staphylococcaceae.